Molecule: ribosomal RNA, 492 nt
Filed under: uncultured bacterium
Lineage: Bacteria
Description: partial 16S ribosomal RNA
Rfam family: Bacterial small subunit ribosomal RNA
Source: RNAcentral
AGUGAACGCUGGCGGUAGGCCUAACACAUGCAAGUCGAACGGCAGCACAGUAAGAGCUUGCUCUUACGGGUGGCGAGUGGCGGACGGGUGAGGAAUACAUCGGAAUCUACUUUUUCGUGGGGGAUAACGUAGGGAAACUUACGCUAAUACCGCAUACGACCUACGGGUGAAAGCAGGGGAUCUUCGGACCUUGCGCGAUUGAAUGAGCCGAUGUCGGAUUAGCUAGUUGGCGGGGUAAAGGCCCACCAAGGCGACGAUCCGUAGCUGGUCUGAGAGGAUGAUCAGCCACACUGGAACUGAGACACGGUCCAGACUCCUACGGGGGGCAGCAGUGGGGAAUAUUGGGCAAUGGGCGCGAGCCUGAUCCAGCCAUACCGCGUGGGUGAAGAAGGCCUUCGGGUUGUAAAGCCCUUUUGUUGGGAAAGAAAAGCAGCAGGUUAAUACCCCGCUGUUCUGACGGUACCCAAAGAAUAAGCACCGGCUAACUUCGUG